Molecule: long non-coding RNA, 1160 nt
Organism: Asterias rubens (European starfish)
Lineage: Eukaryota; Metazoa; Echinodermata; Asteroidea; Forcipulatida; Asteriidae
Exons: 3
Source: RefSeq, a predicted model, not a curated record
UCAUUGGACAGAUAAAGUCUACUCCCCAAAGUAGAUGCUCGAUGAUGCACAUGAAGUCCUGCGUAAAGAUUCAAAGAUGUCUUCUCAGUCAAAGAUCUUCAGAUGUACAUGUAGAUUUUCAGAUCUUUGUUCAUAUUGGCUGACCAUUAAACAGUCAGCGUCAGCGGAGAUAGAGUACAUCUGUGAAGGAUGAAGCAUUUGGACAACUUUACCAACUUCAAAGGGUAAAAUACCAAAGUUAAUAUUCUUUAUCCCUGAUGCAAAUUUAAAUAUUAUUCAGUGGUAACACACAUCAGUGUAAAUUGUCCUCAUCAUUCAAUAUCAUUGGCGUUUUGUUAAAAAUGCAACCACCAGGUAGUUGGUGUUGAUUUAAAACAUUUGUUUGUCAAAAACCACAUCAUACAUCUGUAAUAAAAAAGAAAUAUCCACCCGCAGUCUUAUUUUUGGGAACUUUUUUAAGCAUCUUGAGUCAUCCUUUGAAAUUAUCAUUGCAAAAACGAAAUCCAUGACUCGAAACUGGAAAAUGGCUUUACUAACUGUUGAAGUCUUACAAGUAUAGAUGAUUGAGACUUUAGACCAACUUGAAGCUAGUCAACAGUCCAUACACUGCAUCAUUAAGUUUCACACAAACAGUAUUUUAUAUCUUUUAAAAAUGUGUUCGGUGUGCACUUUGAUUUUGUUUCAAUCACAAAUUAUAUUGCAUUUUAUGUUGAAACCCAAAGUUCCUAAAAAUGCUUUGAUGUUUGAUAUUUACAUUGAUGAUCUGUUGAUAUUUAAGACAACUUGUUUAACCUUUUUUUUCUUCAUUCAUUCUUUUUUGUACCAUCUACAUGGUUCCUCAUUUGAUGUUGGCAACAAUCUACCGUGGCGAGUCAAUCAACUUUGAAGAUCAACUAAUCGAGACAGAGAGUGGCAGAUCUCCAUUCAAGUUCAAGGCCAUCAUCAGUGGAGAUGCAGUGUUGGUCAACAGUAAUUUAGUGUUUGUAGCUUUGAAUUGUUCUACUUGUAUCUGGGAUGGAUCUGAAGGUUUAAUAUAAUAUCACCAAGAUAAUGAAGGCUUUUCUUGAAAGAGCAUCAUUGUCUGCAAGAUUGAAAUGUGCACAUCCUGAGUGGUGAAUCAUUCAUACUUUCCUUGUGUGGUGAUCUACCUAUACUUACCA